This 303-nucleotide unclassified non-coding RNA is filed under the name plant metagenome. Its description in RNAcentral is "partial contains 5.8S ribosomal RNA, internal transcribed spacer 2, and large subunit ribosomal RNA". The stretch from base 1 to 105 matches the Rfam family "5.8S ribosomal RNA", at positions 50 to 154 of the family's 154-position model. The record is from RNAcentral.
GAAAUGCGAUAAGUAAUGUGAAUUGCAGAAUUCAGUGAAUCAUCGAAUCUUUGAACGCACAUUGCGCCCGCCAGUAUUCUGGCGGGCAUGCCUGUUCGAGCGUCAUUUCAACCAUCAAGCCCCGCGCUUGUGUUGGGGACCUGCGGCUGCCACAGGCCCUGAAAACCAGUGGCGGGCUCGCUGUCACACCGGGCGUAGUAGAUUUUAUCUCGCUCAGGGCGUGCUGCGGGUUCCGGCCGUUAAAAAGCCUUUUUUACCCAAGGUUGACCUCGGAUCAGGUAGGAAGACCCGCUGAACUUAAGC